RNAcentral lists this ribosomal RNA (603 nucleotides) under Staphylotrichum coccosporum. RNAcentral describes it as "eukaryotic LSU rRNA". It matches the Rfam family "Eukaryotic large subunit ribosomal RNA", at positions 38 to 667 of the family's 3401-position model. Lineage: Eukaryota; Fungi; Ascomycota; Sordariomycetes; Sordariales; Chaetomiaceae. The record is from RNAcentral.
GCAUAUCAAUAAGCGGAGGAAAAGAAACCAACAGGGAUUGCCCUAGUAACGGCGAGUGAAGCGGCAACAGCUCAAAUUUGAAAUCUGGCCUCGGCCCGAGUUGUAAUUUGCAGAGGAAGCUUUGGGCGCGGCACCGACCGAGUCCCCUGGAACGGGGCGCCAUAGAGGGUGAGAGCCCCGUAUGGUCGGACGCCUAGCCUGUGUAAAGCUCCUUCGACGAGUCGAGUAGUUUGGGAAUGCUGCUCAAAAUGGGAGGUAAAUUUCUUCUAAAGCUAAAUACCGGCCAGAGACCGAUAGCGCACAAGUAGAGUGAUCGAAAGAUGAAAAGCACUUUGAAAAGAGGGUUAAAUAGCACGUGAAAUUGUUGAAAGGGAAGCGCUUGUGACCAGACUUGCGCCCGGCUGAUCAUCCGGUGUUCUCACCGGUGCACUCUGCCGGGCUCAGGCCAGCAUCGGUUCUCGCGGGGGGACAAAGGCCCUGGGAACGUAGCUCCUCCGGGAGUGUUAUAGCCCUGGGUGCAAUGCCCUCGCGGGGACCGAGGUUCGCGCAUCUGCAAGGAUGCUGGCGUAAUGGUCACCAGCGACCCGUCUUGAAACACGGACC